GCCGAAGUGGUGAAACUGGUAGACACGCUGUGUUCAGGGCGCAGUGCCUGUACGGGCGUGUGGGUUCGAAUCCCACCUUCGGCA
This 84-nucleotide transfer RNA is filed under the name bacterium. Its description in RNAcentral is "tRNA-Leu". It matches the Rfam family "tRNA". From Rfam's summary of the family: Transfer RNA (tRNA) molecules are approximately 80 nucleotides in length. Their secondary structure includes four short double-helical elements and three loops (D, anti-codon, and T loops). Further hydrogen bonds mediate the characteristic L-shaped molecular structure. tRNAs have two regions of fundamental functional importance: the anti-codon, which is responsible for specific mRNA codon recognition, and the 3' end, to which the tRNAs corresponding amino acid is attached (by aminoacyl-tRNA synthetases). tRNAs cope with the degeneracy of the genetic code in two manners: having more than one tRNA (with a specific anti-codon) for a particular amino acid; and 'wobble' base-pairing, i.e. permitting non-standard base-pairing at the 3rd anti-codon position. The record is from RNAcentral. RNAcentral also lists the same sequence under 1 other name.